AAUUGAAAUUCAAUAAAGAAUUGAUUAGAAAGUGCACAGUUACAUCUAUUAUAAUAAUCUUGAAUUUAAUCAAUUUGUAAUGAAAAAAAACUAAUGUAGACUCUUACUAACUUAAAAAAAAUACACCUUCUUCAUCUCUUUUAUAAUUCUAAGAAUAGUUUAUAAGAUUGAUGUAUUCAAAGGCAUCAAUAAAAAAGAAGUGUGAUUUGAAAUAAUUCCAAUUAUUAUUUUUAUCCACAAAAAGAAGUUUUAUCUCUUGCAUAUUCAACCUUAUUCUAAUCACUAUAAAUGUAAGUGGUAUCGGAAGGUAAUAAUUUUGUAAGAUUUGGACACAUCUUACUAUAUUCUUGAUACUUACUAGAAGUAUAUGUUAACAAUGUGUACAGAUUUGCCAAAUAUACAAUUAAUAGUAAUCAAAAGAAUCUUAUUAUGUAUAAGAUCUAAACAAUAUUGUCUUAUUGAAAAAGAAACAAGUAUACAAACUCCACCAACACUUGUAUUGUCCAAGUUGUUUACAUAGUUAGGUACAACUUUUAAUAUAAAAACAAAAAAAUCCACACAUUUGGCCAUAAAAUCCAUCCCAGAUAUCGUACUCUAGAGCCACGUAGUUUAUGCUCUUGAAUGAGAAGCAUAUUUAUUAUUGCACAUAGAAAUACAAAAACUUAACAUAUGAAAUGCUUAUCGACACACUUAACUUGCUCAAGCCUUUGCUACACUGCAAUUCGAAAACCAGAACAAUCCAUGAUUGCCCUGGACGAGCUUAAGGUCACAGUUCUGAAUUCAUGUAAGUUGCUGCAGAUGCUAACAAUAAGUAACAAAAUAUGAACUGCGCAAGUGCUGUGGGGAACUAUAUCAAAGCCAAAAAAUACUUUAGCGCAAAAUAACAAAAAUCUAAAAUAAGACUUGAUUGCUAAGUGGAGGAGGUGCAAGUGAAAACAAGAACCAAUUUGAACUCGUGAGGAUAACUCUACUUCCGGUCACGUUGAUCAAAAUUCCGACACAUGAGACUUAACUACACAAAACAAUAAUGUAAAUUAUCGUUAUUGAGCAAUUAUGUCAAUCCUACCAAAGGGCUUCAAAGAAAUAUUUCAUUUCAGCUCGUUCAACGCCUUUUUGGCGGCAAUAUCAUCACCAUGACAGUUGUGAAGCGCGAACAAAAUACAAAAUAAUGAAAUAAUAUAAAUAAAUAAAUAAUUGCCGGUGCUAGAAAUCAAACCUUCACCUUAAAACAAAGUGAUUCAAAAUCAUGUCAGUAACAGGUUGAUUCAAUCUUAAGAGGAACUCACAAAGGUCCGAAAACUAAUUUGAGAACCGCACCGAACGCAGAACACUCAAACCACUGACGACAGCACGCCCUGAAUUAGCUAUGGCCAUGGCCAAGUUCUAGUGGUAUUCUCAUACUCCAAAUCUAUUGAUUCCUUGAGCUCCACUAGACCUUCGAAAAACCAUCAAAUACAUUUCACUACAUACGAAAGCGGAAAAAAAAAAAAAAAACAAACAAACAAACAAACAAAACAAAACAAAACAACAAACACACAUACACACACAGCAAUUGGAUCGAUACGGAAGCAGAAAACAACGCCAAGCAAAAGUUGCCGUGAUGGAAAAUGACCACAACGCAAACGAGAACGCUCGAGCGGGAGCGUCAAUGGCAGCAGCAGCAGCACGGCGUGGCCUGAUGACAGCAAAAGACCUCUCUCUCUCUCUCGGGUUUCAAAUCCCAAUUCAGAGGCGAAACCCUUUUCUUCAAAGAAACCCUUAGUCCACAUUUGGCAGGGCUGCUUAGAGGUCCUCUUUAU
This 1799-nucleotide long non-coding RNA is filed under the name Physcomitrium patens. Its description in RNAcentral is "long non-coding RNA (PPAT_LNC006358)". Lineage: Eukaryota; Viridiplantae; Streptophyta; Bryopsida; Funariales; Funariaceae. The record is from RNAcentral.